Macaca mulatta (Rhesus monkey) is the source of this 3285-nucleotide non-coding RNA. The record is from RefSeq and is a predicted model, not a curated record. Lineage: Eukaryota; Metazoa; Chordata; Mammalia; Primates; Cercopithecidae.
GGCACAUGCCACCACGCCCAGCUACAUUUCCUUUAGUCUAUUUUUUUAUAAUUUACUAGCCUGUUUGUUGAUAACAAGACUGGUGGUGCACAAGGUUGGGUCUUGGUGUUCAUCGGGCGGCGGGCAUGGGCCAGGUGGGAGGGUCUCCACCACCUGGUGCAAAUCUCCAAAGUGCAGGAAACACCAUCAAGGGUGAUUGUAAAGUUCUGGUUUGGCGCGGCGGGUAGGCGUUCCCACGCAGAAAUGAGCACGAAAACUUUUGCUGUGGUUGUAGGCAGGUCGGCCCCAAGCGCUUCUUAUUGGCUAAUGUGGAGAGAACCUGCACACCCAUUGGCUGAAAUCUCCGUCUAAUUGAGGCUGACUGAGAGCUUCCCUUCCUACUGUGUUGCCUGGAAGCGAACUGUCCGCCUAGUAACAUCUGAUCGCGUUUCCAAUUGGUCACCGUUUACGGAAGCCCGCCCUCCCUUUUCCGGAAGCCGGGCGGACGCUGGGGCUGCAGGUGAAGUACAGGUGCACAGUGGGAAGUGUGAUUGCGCAGAGUUGGGCUGUUCGGCCAAGCGCCCGCCGGACAUGGGACGCUGGAGGGUCAGCGGCGUGAAGUCCUCGCCUUCAGCGUCCACGGCUGGGAAAUUGGCUAUCGCCACGGCGGGAACUAGGACUCUGGCUGUGUCCCGGCCCUUCCUCAUCAGUCCACCGGACUCUUGGGCGCGCGCACUGGCGCGGGUGUAGUUUGCUCACCUCUGACCCGUAUUGUCUUGAGAUUAAAGGAAUUGGGAGCUUCUUUUGCUAUUCUUCUAUCUUGGAUGCAUUGGAAGAGCUGCUCCUGGAUCCUGCAGCAGCGAGGAGACCUGAAGACCAGAGGAAACACAGCAAUCCCUGGAUCCUCCUGGAAUCCCCGAUCCCUGUUGCUCCCUCGGGGAGGUUUCUAGUCCCUCUGACUUGAAGCAUGGCUUUCAGAGCCCGGCGCCACCCAGCUUGGGUAUUUGGUGAGUUCUGUGGUCUGCACGUCCAUGUUUGUGACAUUCUGGGAAGGGUGGCCCAGGCUGUGAUUUGCCAUCUACUGCUGCGGGCUAUGCAUGGUAUUCAGAAGGGAGGGGAGAUGCCGUGUGCGUGUUCUGAAGGGUUUCCCACUGCACAGACCAACCCUUUCCGUAACUAUUUGAUUUUUACUUUAUCUCCUUGUUGACUUCACACUGUCAGUGCAGUUUGUGUAAUCAUCUCUACGGGGUGAUGCAGGCAGAUAUAAAGUCUGCACGUGUGGGCAAACUCUCCAUAUCAUGUCAUUUAUUGUCCAUCAUUACAUGUCUAUGGUGUCUCGCUCAUUUCUCUCAUUUUCUGUCAUUUUACCUACUUUUACCUGAAGUACAAUGACUAUUUAAUAACUAUUAUUUCAUUUCAAUACACCUCUAUGGUAUUUUUUCACCUCACAUUGGACCUUCCUCCCUCACUGGACUUCAAUGGUGGGACCUGCAGGUCUCAGGCCUUCUGGGAUGUCCCAGUUUUACUUGAAUGUUCUCUCUGGCCGGCUCAGGCCGGAGCAGUGGGUGUUGGCGCCACCCUGUGGCUACAGGUGAUAAGCCGGCUGUUGUUGACUGAUCCCUGUCUUACCUUGAACCCUGGAGUUCUCACAUGCGUGGAUUUAAACGCUGUAUCUUUCUAAGGGCAGAUUGUGCCCAUUUUCCUUCUCUCCCUCCCAAGGUACUGUUUCCUGUGUUUAUUGACUCCCCGUUUUUUUUUUUUUAAAGAUAUAUAUAUAUAGAUAGAUGAAUUAGAUUGUACCCCAUAAAUUGCAUGUUUUAAAAAUACUUCAAAGAAUAGUUUUUCAUUUUUUUCUUGCUGAUUUUUACCUAUCUUCUAAAUUGUAUAUGGGGUAUAAAAUGAUGUGAUUUUUCAAUGCAGUGUGGAAUAAGAAUCAAAUUAAUCUAUCCGUUACCUCAAAUCCUUGACUUUUUUUUGUGGUGAGAAUGCUGUUUAUCACUUUCACUCAUCAGCUCCUGAUGUCUUCCAUGCCAGGGACAGAAAAGGCUCCACACUUGACUUUCCCUCCUGUUUUCUUUGUUUUUUUUUUUUUGAGACGGAGUCUUGCUCGGUUGCCCAGGCUGGAGUGCAGUGGCCGGAUCUCAGCUCACUGCAAGCUACGCCUCCCGGGUUCACGCCAUUCUCCUGCCUCGGCCUCCCGAGUAGCUGGGACUACAGGCGCCCGCCACCUCGCCCGGCUAGUUUUUUGUAUAUUUUAGUAGAGAUGGGGUUUCACCGUGUUAGCCAGGAUGGUCUCGAUCUCCUGACCUCGUGAUCCGCCCAUCUCGGCCUCCCAAAGUGCUGGGAUUACAGGCUUGAGCCACCGGGCCCGGCCUGCCCUCCUUUUUUCUUAUCGCUGUCAACCCCUGAAUGUGCCCUCCGGGAUUGUCUUCUCCACUUUCUCCACCUAGCCCGAUCCUUGUGCGUCUAGCUUCCUCUCAGGGACUGUCCUUAGGGAGUGACUUUAUGCACAGACUUCACAUGCUCUUCCUGCCUCCUUCAUCCCCAUAAGCCCCCAUCCUAGCCCCAUCUGAUUAUUUCUUCCCUCUCUCAUUUCCUGUUAUGCUGUUGGUUUUCUAACCUGAAGGGUAACUGCUUACUCCUUAGUUUUUUGCCGUAAUUUCUAAAUCUUAGGCUACUUUCAGGCUAAAAGUUUUCCUCCAGCCGUGGUUUUAGUCUCAUUCUAUAAGUCUUGGUAGGUAGUUUAUUCAUUGGAAAUUUUUUGUUUGUUUUUGAGACAGAGUCUUGCUCUAUCACCCAGGCUGGAGUGCAGUGGUGCCAUCUCGGCUCACUGCAACCUCCGCCUCCUGGGCUCAAGCAAUUCUCUUGCCUCAGCCUCCCAAGUAGCUGGGAUUAUGGAUGCGCGCCACCACACCCAGCUAAUUUUUGUAUUUUUAGUAGAGAUUGGGUUUCACCAUGUCAGCCAGGUUGGUCUCGAACUCCUGACCUGAAGUGAUCUGCCCGCCUCGGCCUCCCAAAAUACUGGGAUUACAGGCAUGAGUCACCGCACCCCGCCCCUUGGCACUAUAUUUAAGUGAUAUUUUUGGACACUGAGGUAGCCUCAUUCCACAGGUUUAGAUCUGAAGCAUUUUCACUAUUGCUUCUUCCCAUGUAUCUCCUGGUUUGCAGGUCAGUUUCUUCUUUGAACUCAUCAGUGACACAUUGGUUUAUAUGGCUUUUAAUUUCUUUUUUUUUUUUUUUUUUUUGAGACGGAGUCUCGCUCUGUCGCCCAGGCUGGAGUGCAGUGGCGCGAUUUCGGCUCACUGC